UUUUCUAGAAGUCUCAAAAGUGCCUGGAUUUAUGCAUAAAUAGUUCCUGCACCUAAAAUUGCUUAAGCUUUGUAGGGAACUUAAGUCAACAAUACGUGUGCAGAUGCUCUGGUGAAUGAUGCAUACAAUAAAAAACACAACCUUUUUAUACCCAAUUUGGCAUUCCAUUUACAUGUUUUCUACUAGAGAUGUCUUGUACAGAGCAGUUGUCGCGCUGUAAUGACCGAUUGACCGUACACCAGAGUAAAAGAGACUUUGCAGCUAGUAGUUGGUUAAUUUACACAUUCCAUUCCCUAUGAAAAAAUUGACGCAUCUUUAAAUUAAAGAUCAGUGUAUUGUGUAAGCUGGCAAUAUUGUAUUUCCUUUAUGCUUACUAGACAAGCACCACAUCUCUUGAAUCCUCUACUAAUAAUAGAUUUUGAUGAGGUCUGAUUGUGUUACAUUAGUAAAAUGAAUUUACUAUGAAGCUCUCAUUAUAUUACAGAUACACCUUACAUGCAUAGAUGCUGUUUUUAUUCAAUCCCCUGCAGUAUAUAGAGUCCUUAGUAAUUUGCCUACUCUUCUUUCCUGAAAUGACCAUAAUCUGUGGAAAUCUGCCUUUUUAAAACUUGCAACAAUUGGCUAAUGGACGACAUUCCAUAAGAAAUUUGGUGCCUCUGUAAACUAUAGAGAGAUUGUGCUAGGACUGUGCUACCCCCUUUCUCUCUUAUUUACGAGUGCUUUAAAAUGUCCACCUUUGUCACUCAUGUACUUUGUGACCAUCCUUAAAGCGUUUCUGUCACCAUAAUGAAUGAGAAUGAAGAGGUCAGAGGGCCUUCACUGGCUCCAAUAUGCUUUUAGAAAAAAAAACUUCCUAGUACGUAAUUUGUUAUUAGUUAUAUGUCCUGCCCAGAACAAGUAUUUCAAUCAAGAGAAUAAUGAACCCUCAAGGCCUCAACCCUCCUAUUUCCACUAAGUUUUUAUUAUUAUUAUUUAGAUGGCGUCAUUUACAUUUAGGCUUUUCCUAGCAUUCAUAUGACCAUAAUACAUGUGUAAAAAGAGGUAUAUCAUAUAAUUUAUUUGAUUAGUAUUUCAACUGAGCUAUAUAUGAAGUUUCUCG
This 1099-nucleotide long non-coding RNA is filed under the name Aquilegia coerulea. RNAcentral describes it as "long non-coding RNA (ACOE_LNC001141)". Lineage: Eukaryota; Viridiplantae; Streptophyta; Magnoliopsida; Ranunculales; Ranunculaceae. The record is from RNAcentral.